Molecule: ribosomal RNA, 292 nt
Filed under: uncultured bacterium
Lineage: Bacteria
Description: partial 16S ribosomal RNA
Source: RNAcentral
GGACUACUGGGGUAUCUAAUCCUGUUUGCUCCCCACGCUGUCGCGCCUCAGCGUCAGCAACGGCCCAGCGGAACGCCUUCGCCACCGGUAUUCUUCCCGAUCUCUACGCAUUCCACCGCUACACCGGGAAUUCCAUCCGCCUCUACCGUGCUCGAGCCCACCAGUCUGACCGGCAGCCCCGGAGUUGAGCCCCGGGAUUUCACCAGCCACUUAGUGAGCCGCCUACGCGCCCUUUACGCCCAGUGAUUCCGGACAACGCUCGCACCCUCCGUAUUACCGCGGCUGCUGGCAC